AGAGUUUGAUCCGUGGCUCAGGACAACGCUGGCGGCGUGCUUAACACAUGCAAGUCGAACGUGAUUUUUGUGGAAAUUCUUUCGGGAAUGGAAAUGAAAUGAAAGUGGCGAACGGGUGAGUAACACGUGAGCAACCUACCUUACACAGGGGGAUAGCCGUUGGAAACGACGAUUAAUACCGCAUGAGACCACAGAAUCGCAUGAUAUAGGGGUCAAAGAUUUAUCGGUGUAAGAAGGGCUCGCGUCUGAUUAGCUAGUUGGAAGGGUAAAGGCCUACCAAGGCGACGAUCAGUAGCCGGUCUGAGAGGAUGAACGGCCACAUUGGAACUGAGACACGGUCCAAACUCCUACGGGAGGCAGCAGUGGGGAAUAUUGCACAAUGGGGGGAACCCUGAUGUAGCGACGCCGCGUGAGCGAAGAAGGUUUUCGAAUCGUAAAGCUCUGUCCUAUGAGAAGAUAAUGACGGUAUCAUAGGAGGAAGCCCCGGCUAAAUACGUG
This 498-nucleotide ribosomal RNA is filed under the name uncultured Parvimonas sp. RNAcentral's name for it is "bacterial SSU rRNA". It matches the Rfam family "Bacterial small subunit ribosomal RNA", at positions 8 to 507 of the family's 1533-position model. The record is from RNAcentral. Lineage: Bacteria; Bacillati; Bacillota; Tissierellia; Tissierellales; Peptoniphilaceae.